Molecule: long non-coding RNA, 228 nt
Filed under: Daucus carota (carrot)
Lineage: Eukaryota; Viridiplantae; Streptophyta; Magnoliopsida; Apiales; Apiaceae
Description: long non-coding RNA (DCAR_LNC002061)
Source: RNAcentral
AAGGAAUUCCACUGUCUCUUCAUAAACACGCCUUUAUCACACAUCCUUGCUUUCCAACUCAUACCUAUAAUCAAUAUCAAUGUCAUCUUAGAAUUUGAGAAAUUAAAGAUCUCAUUUAUCAAAACUUUUGUAGAAAAGAUAUCAUGAUAAUAUCUCACUGAUGAGAAAACAAUCAAAAGAAUCUUUAGUUGAAGAGAGGUAUUGCCAAGGUCUUCUCAGAUUUUCGCU